AGCCCAGAGCCUGAAUCAGUGUGUGUGUUAGUGGAAGCGUCUGGAAAGGCGCGCGAUACAGGGUGACAGCCCCGUACACAAAAAUGCACAUAUUGUGAGCUCGAUGAGUAGGGCGGGACACGUGGUAUCCUGUCUGAAUAUGGGGGGACCAUCCUCCAAGGCUAAAUACUCCUGACUGACCGAUAGUGAACCAGUACCGUGAGGGAAAGGCGAAAAGAACCCCGGCGAGGGGAGUGAAAAAGAACCUGAAACCGUGUACGUACAAGCAGUGGGAGCACGCUUAGGCGUGUGACUGCGUACCUUUUGUAUAAUGGGUCAGCGACUUAUAUUCUGUAGCAAGGUUAACCGAAUAGGGGAGCCGAAGGGAAACCGAGUCUUAACUGGGCGUUAAGUUGCAGGGUAUAGACCCGAAACCCGGUGAUCUAGCCAUGGGCAGGUUGAAGGUUGGGUAACACUAACUGGAGGACCGAACCGACUAAUGUUGAAAAAUUAGCGGAUGACUUGUGGCUGGGGGUGAAAGGCCAAUCAAACCGGGAGAUAGCUGGUUCUCCCCGAAAGCUAUUUAGGUAGCGCCUCGUGAAUUCAUCUCCGGGGGUAGAGCACUGUUUCGGCAAGGGGGUCAUCCCGACUUACCAACCCGAUGCAAACUGCGAAUACCGGAGAAUGUUAUCACGGGAGACACACGGCGGGUGCUAACGUCCGUCGUGAAGAGGGAAACAACCCAGACCGCCAGCUAAGGUCCCAAAGUCAUGGUUAAGUGGGAAACGAUGUGGGAAGGCCCAGACAGCCAGGAUGUUGGCUUAGAAGCAGCCAUCAUUUAAAGAAAGCGUAAUAGCUCACUGGUCGAGUCGGCCUGCGCGGAAGAUGUAACGGGGCUAAACCAUGCACCGAAGCUGCGGCAGCGACGCUUAUGCGUUGUUGGGUAGGGGAGCGUUCUGUAAGCCUGUGAAGGUGUGCUGUGAGGCAUGCUGGAGGUAUCAGAAGUGCGAAUGCUGACAUAAGUAACGAUAAAGCGGGUGAAAAGCCCGCUCGCCGGAAGACCAAGGGUUCCUGUCCAACGUUAAUCGGGGCAGGGUGAGUCGACCCCUAAGGCGAGGCCGAAAGGCGUAGUCGAUGGGAAACAGGUUAAUAUUCCUGUACUUGGUGUUACUGCGAAGGGGGGACGGAGAAGGCUAUGUUGGCCGGGCGACGGUUGUCCCGGUUUAAGCGUGUAGGCUGGUUUUCCAGGCAAAUCCGGAAAAUCAAGGCUGAGGCGUGAUGACGAGGCACUACGGUGCUGAAGCAACAAAUGCCCUGCUUCCAGGAAAAGCCUCUAAGCAUCAGGUAACAUCAAAUCGUACCCCAAACCGACACAGGUGGUCAGGUAGAGAAUACCAAGGCGCUUGAGAGAACUCGGGUGAAGGAACUAGGCAAAAUGGUGCCGUAACUUCGGGAGAAGGCACGCUGAUAUGUAGGUGAAGCGACUUGCUCGUGGAGCUGAAAUCAGUCGAAGAUACCAGCUGGCUGCAACUGUUUAUUAAAAACACAGCACUGUGCAAACACGAAAGUGGACGUAUACGGUGUGACGCCUGCCCGGUGCCGGAAGGUUAAUUGAUGGGGUCAGCGCAAGCGAAGCUCUUGAUCGAAGCCCCGGUAAACGGCGGCCGUAACUAUAACGGUCCUAAGGUAGCGAAAUUCCUUGUCGGGUAAGUUCCGACCUGCACGAAUGGCGUAAUGAUGGCCAGGCUGUCUCCACCCGAGACUCAGUGAAAUUGAACUCGCUGUGAAGAUGCAGUGUACCCGCGGCAAGACGGAAAGACCCCGUGAACCUUUACUAUAGCUUGACACUGAACAUUGAGCCUUGAUGUGUAGGAUAGGUGGGAGGCUUUGAAGUGUGGACGCCAGUCUGCAUGGAGCCGACCUUGAAAUACCACCCUUUAAUGUUUGAUGUUCUAACGUUGACCCGUAAUCCGGGUUGCGGACAGUGUCUGGUGGGUAGUUUGACUGGGGCGGUCUCCUCCUAAAGAGUAACGGAGGAGCACGAAGGUUGGCUAAUCCUGGUCGGACAUCAGGAGGUUAGUGCAAUGGCAUAAGCCAGCUUGACUGCGAGCGUGACGGCGCGAGCAGGUGCGAAAGCAGGUCAUAGUGAUCCGGUGGUUCUGAAUGGAAGGGCCAUCGCUCAACGGAUAAAAGGUACUCCGGGGAUAACAGGCUGAUACCGCCCAAGAGUUCAUAUCGACGGCGGUGUUUGGCACCUCGAUGUCGGCUCAUCACAUCCUGGGGCUGAAGUAGGUCCCAAGGGUAUGGCUGUUCGCCAUUUAAAGUGGUACGCGAGCUGGGUUUAGAACGUCGUGAGACAGUUCGGUCCCUAUCUGCCGUGGGCGCUGGAGAACUGAGGGGGGCUGCUCCUAGUACGAGAGGACCGGAGUGGACGCAUCACUGGUGUUCGGGUUGUCAUGCCAAUGGCACUGCCCGGUAGCUAAAUGCGGAAGAGAUAAGUGCUGAAAGCAUCUAAGCACGAAACUUGCCCCGAGAUGAGUUCUCCCUGACUCCUUGAGAGUCCUGAAGGAACGUUGAAGACGACGACGUUGAUAGGCCGGGUGUGUAAGCGCAGCGAUGCGUUGAGCUAACCGGUACUAAUGAACCGUGAGGCUUAACCUU
This 2640-nucleotide ribosomal RNA is filed under the name Escherichia coli. RNAcentral's name for it is "partial 23S ribosomal RNA". It matches the Rfam family "Bacterial large subunit ribosomal RNA", at positions 296 to 2925 of the family's 2925-position model. The record is from RNAcentral. Lineage: Bacteria; Pseudomonadati; Pseudomonadota; Gammaproteobacteria; Enterobacterales; Enterobacteriaceae.